Molecule: ribosomal RNA, 2209 nt
Filed under: human gut metagenome
Description: bacterial LSU rRNA
Rfam family: Bacterial large subunit ribosomal RNA
Source: RNAcentral
AAGUAGGGCGAGGAAAAGAAAUCAACCGAGAUUCUGUGAGUAGUGGCGAGCGAAAGCGGAAGAGGCUAAACCAUAGGUAGCAAUACUUAUGGGGUUUCGGACAGCAUUUAGUAUUGAUAAUUUCUAGUUGAAACGUGUGGGAAAACGUACCGAAGAGUGUGAGAGUCACGUAAGCGAAAGAGAGAAUCAGCGAGCUGUAUCCAAAGUACCGCGGGACACGUGAAACCCCGUGGGAAGAUGGGGGGACCAUCCUCCAAGCCUAAAUACUACCUAAUGACCGAUAGCGAAUAGUACUGUGAAGGAACGGUGAAAAGAACCCCGGGAGGGGAGUGAAAAAGAACCUGAAACCCUAUGCUUACAAGCACCGAGAGCACGUCAAAGUGUGAUCGGGUACCUUUUGUAGAAUGGUCCGGCGAGUUAUUGUAUGCGGCAAGGUUAAGUGCUUAAGGCACGGAGCCGAAGCGAGAGCAAGUCUGAACAGGGCGAAAAAGUCGUAUGCAAUAGACCCGAAACCGAGUGACCUAUCCAUGUCCAGGCUGAAGUGGAGGUAAAACUCCAUGGAGGGCCGAACACACGUCCGUUGAAAAGGCCGGUGAUGAGGUGUGGAUAGCGGAGAAAUUCCAAUCGAACUCGGAUAUAGCUGGUUCUCUCCGAAAUAGCUUUAGGGCUAGCCUCGUGAAAGAUUACUGGAGGUAAAGCACUGAAUGGGCUAGGGGUCGAAAGAUUACUGAACCCUAUCAAACUAAGAAUGCCAGAUAAUUGAUUCACGGGAGUCAGACAAUGUGAGAUAAGUCUCAUUGUCAAAAGGGAAACAGCCCAGACCCACAGCUAAGGUCCCUAAACAUUGUUAAGUGGAAAAGGAUGUGGGGUUGCAUAAACAACCAGGAUGUUGGCUUAGAAGCAGCCACUCAUUAAAAGAGUGCGUAAUAGCUCACUGGUCGAGUGACCCUGCGCCGAAAAUUCAACGGGGCUAAACAAUGUACCGAAGCUUGGGAUUCUAGAUUUAUCUAGAGUGGUAGGAGAGCGUCGAAUAAGGGGUGAAGUCAGAGCGGAAGCGCUGGUGGACUUUAUUCGAGUGAGAAUGCCGGAAUGAGUAGCGAGAAUUAUGUGAGAAUCAUAAUGGCCGAAAAUCUAAGGUUUCCUGAGGAAGGUUCGUCCGCUCAGGGUAAGCCGGGGGCUAAGGCGAGGCGGAGACGCGUAGCCGAUGCACAUACGGUUGAAAUUCCGUAGCCACCGAAAGAUUUAAGUACAGGGACGCUUUAGAAGUGAUGUAGCCGGGCGAUGGUUGACCCGGUCGUAAGGGAUCGAAAAUGAGUAGAGAAGUCAUCAUGGAAAGAGACAAGAAAAGCUGUAUGAAUAUCUUAGGUGCCCGUACCGCAAACCGACACAGGUAGAUAGGAAGAAGAUUCUAAGGCCAACGGGAGAAGGGUUGUUAAGGAACUCGGCAAGUUGACCCCGUAACUUAGGGAUAAGGGGUGCUCAAGUGAUUGAGCCGCAGAGAAUAGGCCCAGGCGACUGUUUAGCAAAAACACAGGUCUCUGCUAAAUCGAAAGAUGACGUAUAGGGGCUGACACCUGCCCGGUGCCGGAAGGUUAAGAGGAGAUGUGAGAGCAUUGAAUUGAAGCCCCGGUAAACGGCGGCCGUAACUAUAACGGUCCUAAGGUAGCGAAAUUCCUUGUCAGGUAAGUUCUGACCCGCACGAAAGGUGUAACGAUCUGGGCACUGUCUCAACAACCCGCCCGGCGAAAUUGUAGUACCGGUGAAGAUGCCGGUUACCCGCGACUAGACGGAAAGACCCCAUGGAGCUUUACUGUAGCCUAAUAUUGGAUUUCGGUAUUUCACGUACAGGAUAGGUGGGAGACUGGGAAGCACAGGCGUCAGCUUGUGUGGAGUCGACCUUGGGAUACCACUCUUGGAGUGCUGGAAUUCUAACCUGCGGCUUUGAAGCAAGUCGGGGGACAUUGUUAGGUGGGCAGUUUGACUGGGGCGGUCGCCUCCUAAAGAGUAACGGAGGCGCUCAAAGGUUCGCUCUGCAUGGAUGGAAACCAUGCGUCAGAGUGUAAACGCAAAAGCGAGCCUAACUGCGAGAAUGACGGUUCGAGCAGUAACGAAAGUUGGAGUUAGUGAUCCGGCGGUAUGUGAAUGGAAAUGCCGUCGCUCAACGGAUAAAAGCUACCCUGGGGAUAACAGGCUGAUCUCCCCCAAGAGU